Camellia sinensis is the source of this 1317-nucleotide non-coding RNA. Lineage: Eukaryota; Viridiplantae; Streptophyta; Magnoliopsida; Ericales; Theaceae. The record is from RefSeq and is a predicted model, not a curated record.
AAAACCUUUGGUGACUAACUUAUUGCUGUCACAGAAAGAAAAAGGCAUAUUUUGUAUCAAAAUUACCUAAAUCAAAAGUGAAUUCCUAAAUCGAUGAGCUUCCUUUUCAUCGUUGCUCUCUUCAUUCAUUACUAAUUGCUCUCUUCAUUCGACCCCCUAUAGUUAGAUUGGUUGCUCCCUUCAUCGUUGUAUCUCCUCACUCUCUAUACUCCUAAUCAGUAAUGAAACCCUAGCCACUAUCUCCAUUCACUUUAUUCCCUGUUUUGCUCCCUCUUCAUCUUCGACUCUCUUCAUCAUUGUAUUUUCUUACCAGUUGUGCUGCUUUUCUUUCACAGAAACACUGAUAGUUACAUUCUAAAAUUACUUAAAAAGAUGUCUGUGAGAGAUGCUCUAAACCCUACUCUUGAUGAAGAAAUGUCUGUUGAUCUUAGAGUUUUUUUAAUGGGUGAAGUGUCAUUGGAGUAGGCGCUGCUUAUUUUGGUCUUAGGCCUGUUGUGGAGUUUAUGACGUUUAAUUUUUCAAUGCAGGUAACAGAAUUUCUACCCUUGAUGAUACAGUUAUGGAGACAAUGGCUGAAGGAGGGGAGUUUCGAUAUAACAUUUCCCAUUUAGCAAAUUAUUCUGAUAUAGAAGAGAAAUCAAUGGAAAAGUUUCUUUCUGUAAUAUCAUCAUUCAGGUGCUCCUCAUCUGGUUCUCGUGCUAGUGGUCUCUGUGCCCCUCUAAAAGAUGUGCAGAACACAUGUACUAGUAGUGUGACAAUGGCUGGUAUGCAUUAGAUUGCAGCAUACCAUCUAUUUUAUCAGUUAUAAGGGAUUGGCCUUAAUGCUUCAACCAGCUCAGGUUGAUGUACCUAACAGUCCACAACAUGUUGGGAAUCUUGUCAAUCUCAAUGCUAUGGUGGAAAAGAAAAGGCCCCUUAUAUAUGUUUAUGAUUUGCCCCCAGAAUUCAAUAGUCUUUUUCUUGAGGGAUGACAUUUCAAGUUUGAUUAAUAUUUUCCAUCAAUGAAGCAUUCUCUAGUUAGAUUAAAUCCCUAUUUUCUUUGGUAGCUAGAGGCGUAGUCAUAUGGACCUGAGUUUUCCGGUGCAUUAAUUCUAAGUUGUGCUUAUACGUGGAGUUUUUGAUAUACUUUGCAUCAGUCAAAUAUGACAUGCAUUUGAAAUCUUUGAGGGCUUUGUUAAAUAUGUUUUUGAUGUGGUGAAUUCGUUGUAAACUAAAAAGAUGGAUAAUUAUUUUGGACUUGUAAUGAGUUCAUAUUGACAGAUGGUAGUAAUUAGAUAGAUUAACUACUAUUUUGACUUUAUAAUUGAUGAUUUUUUG